GGGACCUUAAACUGGAUCUGUUCUAUAUGCUGGUACCGUUGCAUCCUUCAGCACAACGAGUCAACGAGUCAAGCACUCAAGCCUAGUUGAUGAGACGUGGCCUCUGGCCAGAGCGUGAUUAACGGCCAGGAUGCUCUAAUCACGGAGCCAUCCGACGGCUGUAGAGGAUCGUUCCUGCCUCGGUGCAGGGGUGGCUCAGAGGUUCUCUCAUGAUCC
Non-coding RNA from Oryza brachyantha (malo sina), 216 nucleotides. Lineage: Eukaryota; Viridiplantae; Streptophyta; Magnoliopsida; Poales; Poaceae. The record is from Rfam.